UACGGAGGAUCCUAGUGUUAUCCGGAUUUAUUGGGUUUAAAGGGAGCGUAGGCGGGAGGUCAAGUCAGCUGUGAAAUGUAUCUGCUUAACGGGUACACUGCAGUUGAAACUGGUUUUCUUGAGUGCUUAAGAGGCAGGCGGAAUUCGUUGUGUAGCGGUGAAAUGCUUAGAUAUGACGAGGAACUCCUAUUGCGAAGGCAGCUUGCUGGGUCGUUACUGACGCUGAUGCUCGAAGGUGCGGGGAUCAAACAGGAUUAGAUA
This 261-nucleotide ribosomal RNA is filed under the name uncultured prokaryote. RNAcentral's name for it is "partial 16S ribosomal RNA". It matches the Rfam family "Bacterial small subunit ribosomal RNA", at positions 524 to 784 of the family's 1533-position model. The record is from RNAcentral.